GGCGGGCUCAGGCCAGAGGACGCUAUAAAAAGUCCUCCGCUACCUUGGUCCAUUCACAACCCCACUCUGGAUUACCAAGCGGCUCCUCCUCUCGGACGACACAGCGGAGGAAUUCACCCCAGGGGGUCCGCGAACCAGCCCGACGUGAAACAAUGAAAAUGUCAGCGGCGGAGAUCAGCCAGGUGCUCAAGGAGGGAGAGCUGGAGAAAAGGAGCGACAACCUGCUCCAGUUCUGGAGGAGGAAGACGUGCGUCUUGACCACGGACAGCCUCAACAUUUACGGAGACACGCAGAAGCGCAACCGGGGCAAGGAGCUCAAGCUGCAGUCCAUCAAGAAGGUGGACUGCGUGGAGCGCACCGGCAAGUUCGUCUAUUUCACCAUCGUCACCACGGACAAUAAGGAGAUCGAUUUCCGGUGCCCCGGGGAGGAGAACUGCUGGAACGCGGUGAUCACCAUGGCUCUGAUCGAUUACCAGAACAGAAAGGCCAUCGAGGACUUUAAGACGCGGCAGGACAACGAGGGCGCGUCGCCCGGCCACCAGGAGCGGCGCAUGGCGAGGGCGCCCUGACGCGCCGCGGGGCCAAACCACUCCUAAUAUGGUGAGGGGGGCCUCCAUCACAUGUGUCCAACACGUGUCAAAAUGGACCAUAAGAAGCGGACCAAAAAGGAAGACGAGGUCACCCGGUCCGGAGAUGAAGGAUUGUUCGGGACUGCGCUCUCUGAGAGCGAUGACAACCGAUCUGAGGAGAGUUUCAGAAGCUCCACAAAACCAGACUGAGCUCUUGAAAAUUUUCCAAACUGUGUAAAGUUUGAUCUCCAGGGAGGAAUGACUCCUAAAAAAACCAUGAUGUUAAUUUAUUUGUCUCCAGAAUAUGUUGUUACUGGCAGACAGCUGGUGUUGUUUAAAUUAUUUACUGUUUCAACGUGUGUUGAGUGUAUUUAUUUGAAUAAAUAUUCAUGAAUUUUUAACAGAA
This is an RNA transcript of Gasterosteus aculeatus aculeatus (three-spined stickleback), 975 nucleotides long. It is a transcript of the gene named pleckstrin homology-like domain family A member 2, with no coding region annotated. Lineage: Eukaryota; Metazoa; Chordata; Actinopteri; Perciformes; Gasterosteidae. The record is from RefSeq and is a predicted model, not a curated record.